CCUGUUUUAUUUGAAACAUGGUGAGUAACUGAGUAUCAGGGUGCGAACAACAACUUGUAUUUCAUAGAAGGGAGCAUUCUAGUCCCAUGGUUCUUGAUUUACAGUGUCAACAGAUUUAUACUGAACUUGUACGUAUACCUAUCUGUCAUUUCUACUGAAAAAAACAUAAUUCAAUAUGGUUUGGUAGAGGAUUAAAGUUAAAUUCGUUAUACUAACUGUUGUUUGAUGGCCCUCAUUUUUCCAUUUCACAACUUAUUUAGCAAUGAAAAUCAACAUGUGUGUAGAGUCUAUCAGAUGACAUGCUGCUUGUUGGCAUCCUUCUAGUGACGCAGACAUGUAGGAAUGGACCUUUCUUAAUUCUACAGCUAGCUUCUCUUGAGCAUUCUAGCUCAACAUUCUACUGUAAGUCUGUAUUAAAAGGUUUAUUCUGUUCUUCUGUCCACACAAAUUUACUUCCCUAUGUAAGUUGCCUAGAAAACUUAGUACAGAACCUGCCAUUGGCAGGCAAAGUCUUUGUUUGCAGUGGGUGAAACAUUAGUCUUAGUUAAUAAUUGAACGAAUAGGAAUAUAGGAUAAACAUGAUGUAUGCAUGUUUGAUUGUUUGAAGUUAUCAUUCUACCCUUAAAUCACCAACUGAGAUGGUUAUAAUUCAGUAUCAGAUUGCCCAUCUUAAUAGUGAGAUGGAGCAUUCAGGAAGACAUGCUAGAUUUCCUUAUUCUCAUUGUGCACAUGUUAAAAAUUGUUGUAUCUAAACAUAGUUGGCAAUAUUAUUGAGGACACUACACUGCGUCCCUCCAAUUGAUGUUUUGUCCUCUCGGACCUUAAAUCCCACACUUUCAUGUAAAGUUAUAUUAUGUUACCCCAAUAAGGUUGCUUUUGUAACUGAUUGAAGCUAAUUCUCAGUGGCAAACAUAUUCACCACUGAUGGGAAUACACAUCGGAUCAAAAUUGUGGCUGUGAUUUCUCAGUAUAUAUUAGUGCUCAUAUUUUACUUCUAAAGUGGUUCUGUUGUUGUUCUGAAUAAGUGAUACACAACGGUUCUGCUUUUUUUUUAAAAAAAAACAGAUAAUUCGUCCCUUCUCCCAUAUGGAUAUUGAUGAAGUCAGGUUGUAAGAUUACUAACAAGUAAUGUUCCUGAAAGAAAACAAGGUUUCGUCCAAGUCAGGUGUUCAUUUUGUAGAUACAUUAUUCUAUUCUUUGAGUUAACUCAUCCUAUCUUUGUUCUUAGUUGAUCUCCACUAAGGUCACUCUCAAUCAUGUGACUCAUAGUUUCAUACAAGUUGUUCCAGGCCGACAAUAGUUGUAGAUGAGUGCAGAUAAUGAUCAUUUCUGAAGCAAACUGAUAUGAUAAGGACUCUUUUCCUGUGGCUUCACAUGAGUGCAUGAACAAUGGAAAUGAAAGUUCAGUUGCAAUGUUGGCCCUUCAUUGUUGUCAAACUCACAAUAAUACAGGUAUGAAGUGGUGAAAUACCAACUGUGAAGAUAUUUUGAGUGCCUAUCAGGUCAUCGUGUUAGAGUUUUGCCCACAUCAAAGACUAGUAGACUAUUGUCCCCUGAUUAUGGAUGUGCCACGGCAGGUUGGCACACAGUAGAAUAUGCUAGUGGUGGGGAUAUGGCCAGGAAAGAAACAUCUCAGGUUUACAUGCUUGCCACUAAGUCCGAUAUCAUUCGAGGGAUCUUCCAUUGGGACAUGGCAUCUUCACAAAGUGCUACGUUGGGAUAUUUGCAGACUGCGAAAACUAACCUUCAUGGUGGAAGCACUUGCCACUACCCAGACAUACUAGCAGGGGCACUUUCUACUGUCAAUCUCUGCCCGAUUGUAUUUGCUGUCAUAAUUAUUAGUGCGUGACAGGGCCUCGGUAAAAUCCUGUUCGCUGGGAAAGAUGGCACACCCAAAACUGUUGGCUGGCAAGCCUUUUCCAGGUUACUAGAUUUGCAAAAAGGUUCUGGGCUGCUUGCCUUCUGCGCCCACCGACCACAGAGGCACACGCCCUGAGUGGUGGGCCAGCUGUUUUUCCAUUCCCAAUUUGGGGUCACCACUCACUCUUCUAUGGUUCCUAGGUCCCACUCCCACCAUGAGCAAUCUGGCAAAGCAUGUGCUCUGAUCCCUCCAUAUUUCAAAAGGGUCACAAUGAAGUGGUGCGCAUGACAGCCUUAGAAAUACUGGCACGGCUGCUAGGAGUACAGAGUUCAACUACUAGUCUCCAGUGGAAAGGUGUACAACAGAGUAUUAUACAGUUCAGAAUGCCUGGUCAGCCUAAUGAAAUUUCUAGUUGGUAUGUGGAUGUAUGAAGAAGGAAUCAUGCUGAUACCACAGCAAGGACAAUUACACCAUAACUUGUUCAUUCCAAGGCAAUGCGCUAGAUUUCAGGUACCGGACCGCACCGAACCCAGUUGAGACCGUCAUCCUGGGUGCGUGAGCGGGUUGGAUUGGAACGGUUUCAAACCCGGACAUAUUUGCACAGAGUAGAUGGUCUGCGGUUUCGACCCGUUGAACCGGUUGAAACCUGCCUUCUUCCUGCGUCCUUCGCCAGCCACGCGUAUCACAGCCUGCGAGGCUGCGACUGCGAGUGGCUCCCUGCUUGCUAGCACGGUGGCGAGCGGUGCGCACGUGCUAGCGUGGAGUGGCCAUAUUGCUGGUGCCUAUAGCUAGCUGCAGGUUAUCCAUAUUCAUUAGGAGCUUCAGUGCAUUGCAUGCUUGCCUGUUGGCGGUAGUCUCUCGUGUGCGGGGUCGAGCGCGUCUUGUAAAGCGAACUGCUGCCGGUGAAACCAGCUGCCCAAACCAACCCAACAUAUUAAUUAAGCCGUUACAAACCCGUCCAAAUCCAGCCCGCACCGGACCAUCAUAAUUAUCUUGGUUUGGGUUGGAAAUAAACCAGAAACCAUUAAAACCGAACCAUGAACAGGGUGGGUUAUUCAUUCAAGAUAUAUGAUGUAACGACACAAUGGUGCACCUAGGUUGCACCUUCAACCUGUGUGUUUCAUUGGAUGUCAAUUGUCAAGCUUAAUCAUAGCUUCCAUUUCCUGACUUAAUGGUUUGGUUCCCCACUCUUCAGUGCUGUUUACCCACUUUGCUUUUGCGUAUUGAACUCUUCUUCCAUUUCAGGAGGGCAUGCCUUUCAGGAGCCCUAAUACUAGAGUUGUAUAUACUCUUACUGGAAGCUACCAAGCUGGGAAUCCUUGGAUUAUUCUUAAUCUACCUGGACGCCUGGACCAGUUACAUGCGAGUGCUCCUAUUUCUAGUCGUCCCUAUUCCUCCAGACAGGCCAGACACCUGUAGAACUUUUAUUUGAUGUUGGUGACUGAAUGCUACUUUAUUCAACCAUGUACUAUCUAACCCAUUACUGGCACUAUCAAAAUCAUGGAUUUGUUCAGGUGA
Molecule: long non-coding RNA, 3379 nt
Organism: Panicum virgatum (switchgrass)
Lineage: Eukaryota; Viridiplantae; Streptophyta; Magnoliopsida; Poales; Poaceae
Exons: 4
Source: RefSeq, a predicted model, not a curated record